RNAcentral lists this ribosomal RNA (450 nucleotides) under uncultured bacterium. Its description in RNAcentral is "partial 16S ribosomal RNA". It matches the Rfam family "Bacterial small subunit ribosomal RNA", at positions 354 to 796 of the family's 1533-position model. The record is from RNAcentral.
GUGGGGAAUUUUGGACAAUGGGCGAAAGCCUGAUCCAGCCAUGCCGCGUGCAGGAUGAAGGCCUUCGGGUUGUAAACUGCUUUUGUACGGAACGAAAAGACUCCUUCUAAUAAAGGGGGUCCAUGACGGUACCGUAAGAAUAAGCACCGGCUAACUACGUGCCAGCAGCCGCGGUAAUACGUAGGGUGCAAGCGUUAAUCGGAAUUACUGGGCGUAAAGCGUGCGCAGGCGGUUAUAUAAGACAGAUGUGAAAUCCCUGGGCUCAACCUGGGAACUGCAUUUGUGACUGUAUAGCUAGAGUACGGUAGAGGGGGAUGGAAUUCCGCGUGUAGCAGUGAAAUGCGUAGAUAUGCGGAGGAACACCGAUGGCGAAGGCAAUCCCCUGGGCCUGCACUGACGCUCAUGCACGAAAGCGUGGGGAGCAAACAGGAUUAGAAACCCGUGUAGUCC